AGUCACAAAAAUAGCAUUUAAUGUUUUAUCAAAAGUCACAGACUUAGGGUUUAGAGUUAAAGGGUGGAGUUUAGGAUUUAGGGUUUAGGGUUUAGGGUUUAGAGUUUAGGGUUUAGGAUUUAGAUUUUAGGGUUUAGGGUUUAGGGUUUAGGGUUUAGAGUUUAGGGUUUAGGGUUUAGAGUUUAGGGUUUAGGGUUUAUGGUUUAGGGUUUAAGGUUUAGAGUUUAAGGUUUAGGGUUUAGAGUUUAGGGUUUAGGAUUUAGAGUUGAGAAAUAAGGUUUUGGGGAUAAGAUUUCAAAUUUUAAAAAAUAAAAAAAUUAAAAUUUUCAAAGGAUAAACUUUGAAAGGUGCUAUUUUGAUCAUUUUAGUUUUUGAGUGCUAUUUUUGUGAUA
RNAcentral lists this long non-coding RNA (392 nucleotides) under Brassica napus (rape). Its description in RNAcentral is "long non-coding RNA (BNAP_LNC012171)". Lineage: Eukaryota; Viridiplantae; Streptophyta; Magnoliopsida; Brassicales; Brassicaceae. The record is from RNAcentral.